AGGACGAACGCUGGCGGCGUGCUUAAUACAUGCAAGUCGAGCGGACUCCAACCACUCGCAAGAGUGGGGAAUAGUUAGCGGCGAACGGGUGAGUAACACGUGAGGAACCUGCCCUGGAGACCGGGAUAACUCCCCGAAAGGGGUGCUAAUACCGGAUGUCCUCAUCGGAUCGCAUGGUCUGAUGAGGAAAUGGAUUCCGCUCCAGGAGGGCCUCGCGGCCUAUCAGCUUGUUGGUGAGGUAACGGCUCACCAAGGCCUCGACGGGUAGCUGGUCUGAGAGGACGAUCAGCCACACUGGGACUGAGACACGGCCCAGACUCCUACGGGAGGCAGCAGUAGGGAAUCUUGCGCAAUGGGCGAAAGCCUGACGCAGCAACGCCGCGUGGGGAUGAAGGCUCUCGGGUUGUAAACCCCUUUCAGCAGGGACGAUUAUGACGGUACCUGCAGAAGAAGGACCGGCCAACUACGUGCCAGCAGCCGC
Molecule: ribosomal RNA, 481 nt
Filed under: uncultured bacterium
Lineage: Bacteria
Description: SSU rRNA
Rfam family: Bacterial small subunit ribosomal RNA
Source: RNAcentral